GAAGGCAAUCUGAUGGUGAUACUGGUCACCCUAUUGAUUCUGGGAUUAAUCAGACUGACCUGGCUGGAUAGGCAAGCAUUCUUUUUUUCCCUC
Molecule: small RNA, 93 nt
Filed under: Heterocephalus glaber (naked mole-rat)
Lineage: Eukaryota; Metazoa; Chordata; Mammalia; Rodentia; Bathyergidae
Description: 7SK RNA
Rfam family: 7SK RNA
About the family: 7SK was discovered as an abundant small nuclear RNA in the mid-70s but a possible function has only recently been suggested. Two independent studies have found that 7SK RNA binds the CDK9/cyclin T complex (known as elongation factor P-TEFb). P-TEFb activates transcription by phosphorylating the C-terminal domain of RNA polymerase II.
Source: Rfam by way of RNAcentral